Molecule: non-coding RNA, 24 nt
Filed under: Mus musculus (house mouse)
Lineage: Eukaryota; Metazoa; Chordata; Mammalia; Rodentia; Muridae
Source: RNAcentral
GACCGAAUGUGGGAGAUAGGUGUG